AAGGCAGUUUGGGUCCAUGGAUUUAUGCUAUUGGUGCCAAAUUGUGAACCUACCAUCUGUGUGCCUCAGCAGAAAUCGAGAUCUGCCUCAAGGUUCGACGUGUUGUGCAUUCUGAGAUGCUUUUCUGCUCACCACAACAAGUGGUUAUAAGUUACUGUAACCUUUCUAUCAGCUCAGAACCAGUCUGGCCAUUCUCUGCUUCAGUCUGUUCACAGGGUGUAAAGUUUGCUUGGGUUCAUCUUUAACUCUUACAUUCAGUCGUGAUGGAGAAUACCGGGUUCAUCUGUCUCCUGCUGUGUGUGAGCGUACACACGGCCAACAGCGAAAAACGAUCUUGUCCAGAGAAAAGCAUCUGUAUGCUUAAAUGUGGAGAGACUAACGGUAACGUGACCUGGAGCAGAGAUGUGGGUGGAAAAAGGGACAAGAUUCUCAGCGUCUACAAGGACACGGUUAUCAAACACAUCACUGAUCCAGACAGACGUUACAGCUCAGGAAGACGUCUGAUUCUGAGUAUAUUUAAUGUCUCGUUCUCAGACGCUGGUCGAUAUUACUGUAAUGAGAACGCAGUGGAGGUCAGUGUGACAUGAAAGACUCAGAUAAUCAUAAAUACGGGGAUUGGUUGACGGUAACAGCUUUAGUAGCCGGGGGUUGUGCGCUUGUUUUAGUGUCACUUCUGGUUCUGUGGAGGUGUUUCUCCAAAAGGAAAGGUAGCACCGCCAAAGUACAGCACGAUUCAGCUGAAAAAGGAUCUUCAGAUCUGUACACAUCGGUAUACAUCAACGAGACUCCAUCAGCUCCUCGACCAGCAGCUCCACAGCAGAUCCCAAAAGAUGGAUUUUACUAUCUGGCUACACAUCCAGGAAUCCAGAACAGGCGUUAACACACAUGUCCGUUUAUACUUUCAGUCUCAUUCCCACACUUUUUAUUGACUUUUUUUUGUUUGGGUAGGUAGCUAGAUAGAUAGAAAGAAGGGGGGUUUCAUGAAAAAGAUUUCAUGGUUAAGGAUCUAAGAGAUUUUCUUUGCUCAGUUCAAAUGCUCAGUUAUAUAAAAAAAUUGGUAAUUGUAAGUCUGCCAAAUGCUGUAAAUGCUUGGUCUCUAUAGAAAAGAUAAGUAUAAACAAACUUGUAAACAAGGCACUUAGAUAUUUUUGAAGUGUGAAAAAAGUGGGGAGGUGGCAGUUAAAAUGUGCCAUGAAGUAGUUCUACUACUACUACUACUACUACUAAUAAUAAUAAUAAUAGUAACAGUAACAGCAGCAACACAGGUUCAGUUACUACCGCUAACAUUACAAAUAAUAAUGGAGUCCUAUAUCAGAGCUGGCCUUCCUAAUCAGUUUGUUGAGUUUCUUCUUGGCCUUGGCACCAAUACCAUUUCCCCAGCACACAACAGCGUACAGCAACGUAGAAAAGUGCACUGACUACAACCGGCAGACAAUGUGAGAGAGGCCUUUAGAUGCUCAGAAGUUACCCUGGGUUCCCUUGUAACCUCACAGACUCUUGCACAUCUUACUCUUGGAGAGAUCUUUGUUGGUCUCCACUCCUGGAGAGGGGAACAACGGUCUUAAAUUUCCUCUAGUUUGGACUCCAAAGAGUCCAAACUCUUUAGAGAUGGUUUAUAACCUUUUCCAGCCUGAUGAGCUUCAACAACUCUUUUUCUGAGGUCCUCAGAAAUCUCCUUUGUUCAUGACAUGAUACACUUUCACAAACAUGUGUUGGGAAGAUCAGACUCUGAUAGAUCCCUGUUCUUUAAAUGAAACAAGACGCUCACUCACUCACACCUGAUCAUCAUCCCACUGACUGAAAACACCUGACUCUAAUCUCAAAACUUUCAAGCACCACUGAAUGAAUGUAUUGAAUUUUAUUUUGUUUUUAAAUAGUUGUUUAUCUUUUAGCAAGCUUCAGUACUGAGCUAGAAUGCUAACCCGCUAACCUGCUUGGCCUGUUCUUAUCUCGUGGAUCAUUUGUUUUGUUAGACAUACUCAUGCUCACUGUUUAUUUUACGUUAGUGCUUGUGCAAUUUUCAGCUCUGACAGUAGUGCAGCUGCAACUCACAGGUUUAUAUUAAUGUGUUCGCUCUAAUACAGUCAUGUGAAAAAAUAAGUACACCCCAUGGAAAGUGUUGGCUUUUUUGACAUAUUUGGACAAGCAAACAUUUGAUCAUCUUUGAAUCAGUGCCUGUUAAUAAAGUAGAUAUACUUGGGAUUUAAAACAUGUUUUACAUUUUUUCAUCUGUAGUGUUGUUCACCUGCAUUAAAGCCUGACAGAAUCCGCAACCCGUUUAAGUCUUAUCAUUACCUCUACAUUCAGGUAGCACCGCCAAAGUACACCACGAUUCAGCUGAAAAAGCAGGAUCUUCGGAUCUGUACACAUCGGUAUACAUCAACGAGACUCCAUCAGCUCCUCGACCAGUUGGCCACCCCAGCAACUCACAAAGCCGGCAACUAGCUUGACCUCAUCCUCACAUGUAACUCACACAAAAUUAUUACUUGUUACUCCUCUCCACACCUCUUACCAUUUCUUUAUCCAGUUUUCUAUUUCUCUCCCCUCACCCCCUCACAGUCUUCAACCUCUAUCUCUAUCUCCUUUUGUGGCAAUCUUCGCUCCCUUUCCCCCCUCACAAUUCUCUUCCAUUGUCACAACCUCACUUCCCUCUGAUAGCCUCCUCUCCUCACUGUCCUUAAACACCACAAUUGACAUUCUAUGUUUCACUCUAACAUCUUCGUUUUCAGUGACACUGACUUAAUUUACCUUCAACACGUGCAUUUGUUAUGGUUUUUGGCCCUGUCUCUGCCCCUGUAUUGUCACUGUUUGUUUCCCGCAUGUGUCAUCAUUAGUCUCAGCUGUUUUGUGUUUCACCCCGAUUAUGUUUAGUACUUAAACCCCUCGUGUCCCUUUGUACUUAGCGAGUAUUAGGUGAGUUUCCGUAUACCAGGCGUUUGUUUCUUGCUUCAUGUGUUAUUGUUUGAUCUUGUUCUCACCCUCAUUCAUGAUUCCUGUUUUGUCAAUUGCUUGACCCAUUGCCUGUUAUUUGACCAUGCUAUUGUCUCAUGAUUUGGAUUUGUCUGCCUGCCUCUCUUUAUUAAAAGCUCUUAUCUGCACUUGCAUCUGUCCUAACCUCCAUUACUUUUAAUUACGUGACACAUAGAUAGAAAGAAAGAAAGAAAGAAAGAAAGAAAGAAAGAAAGAAAGAAAGAAAGAAACUUUAUUAAUCCUGAUGGAAAUUGCAAAAUUACAGUAGUGGUAAAAGACAAACAUUCACAGAUAACCAUAAAUACAAUAAAAAAGCACAGUAAUUUAUUGCAGGUCCAGGUACUUAUAUGUGUCCACUACCUCCAAUGUUCAGCUGCAGUUUGCACCACUCAGCAAAGUUCUCCACCAAGGCCAUAUACUCAUCCCCCUGCCCACCUCCGAUGCAUGUACUUCUGCACAUGACAUGACUCUGUGUUAUACCUAAAAUCUGAAUGGAGGAUUGAACAGGAAUGGAGCCAGUACAGUCCCCUGAGAAGCCCCAGUGCUGCACAUAGCCAUAUCUGACUUACCAGUUAGGUAGUUCACGGCAGGUUGAAUUGUGUUUGUUGACCAUCCCUUUCCAGAUUUAUUCCACCAUUGCUGUUAUAACAACCUCCUCCAAUCUUCUGGGAAGGCUUUCCACUAAAUUUUGUAUCGUAGCUGUGGGGAUUAAUGAUCAUUCAAGUAACAAGAGCAUUAAUAAGGUUGAGGUCAGGUGCUGAUGUCGAUGUGAGGAGGCUCCAGUUCCAGUUCACCCUAAAGGUGUUCAGUGGGGUUGAGGUCAGGGCUCUGUACAGGACACUCGAGUUCUUGCACCUUCUUCCAACCGUCACACACCACGUCUUCAUGGAGCUCGCUUCGUGCACUGUCUGUCAUGCUGGAACAGUGUUUGGGCCUCUUAGUUCCAGUGAAGGGAAACUGUAAUGCUACAGCGUACAGAGACGUUCUAUACAACUGUGGAACAGUUUGUGGAAGAAAAACAUAUAGGUGGUGAGGAGAUCACAUAAUGUAUUUCUGUUAUGUUUGUGAUUUAAUGUAUAAAAAUAAAAACAUAUUGAGAGCAUGUUUACAUUGUGUUCAUUUGUGUUUCUGUAAUACAUAAAGUGACCAAAUUCUUCCUGAUUCAAAUAUGAUGCCUUUUCUAUCACUUCUCUUUAUUAUCACACAUUCUCACACGCCUAUCAUUACACUUAUCUUAAAUGUGUUUAAGUUCACUUAAAAUCCCCCGAGACCUUUACCAUAAUCACAAAUAUUAGAGAAACACACAUUUCUGAGAUGAUUAGUUGUGCUCCUUUUGUUGUCUUUUUGAGGUCAUGCCCACAAGUAAACAAAGUCACACACACACACACACACACACACACACACACACACAAACACACACCCACAAUCAGGGAUACAUAACAUUACAUCACUUCCUCAGCCUCAUCUCACUUCCUCACACUGCUCAUCACACACUGCACCUCGGAGCUUCAGUCUGUUCACAGGGUGUAAAGUUCGCUGUGUUUCAUCUUUAACUCUUACAUUCAGUCGUGAUGGAGAAUACCGGGUUCAUCUGUCUCCUGCUGUGUGUGAGCGUACACACGGCCAACAGCGAAACAUUUUGUCCAGAGAAAAACAUCUGUAUGCUUAAAUGUGGAGAGACUAACGGUAACGUGACCUGGAGCAGAGAUGUGGGUGGAAAAAGGGAGAAGAUUCUCAGCGUCUACAAGGACACGGUUAUCAAACACAUCACUGAUCCAGACAGACGUUACAGCUCAGGAAGACGUCUGAUUCUGAGUAUAUUUAAUGUCUCGUUCUCAGACUCUGGUCGAUAUUACUGUAAUGAGAACGCAGUGGAGGUCAGUGUGACAUCAAAGACUCUGAAAAUCAUGAAAACGGGGGGUAAGUGGUCUGACCAUUGCUUUCAUUAAAACUCCACCACACAAUUAUUAUUAUUUUAGAGUUUUAUUUUAUAUAUAAUUUAUUUUUCAUUAUUUUUAAUUUCUUCUACUGCUUCCUGUUAUAAGUAUAAAUUAGUACUAUGAUCAUAUUAUUUAGUAUUCUUCUAUUAUUAUUAACAUAAUUACAAAUAAUUAACAAUUCUGAAAAUGAAUAAUUAAUCAAUUAUAUAUUUUAUUGUUAACAUAUUAUUAUUUACGGUGGUGCUUGAAAGUUUGUGUUUCGAAUUUUAUACAUUUCCGCAUUAACCUAAAACAUCAGCAGAUUCCUAAAGGUAGAUAAAGAGAACCCAGUUAAACAAAUGAGACAAAAAUAUUAUACUUGGUCAUUUAUUUACUGAGGAAAUUGAUCCAGUAUUACAGAUCUGUGAGGGGUGAAAGUAUGUGCUCCUUUGCUUUCAGUAUGUGGUGUGACCCCUUGUGCAGUGAUAACUGCAGAUAAACGUUUGGGGUAAGUGUUGAUCAUCUGCACGUCGUCUCGGAGGAGUUUUAUCCCGUUCCUCAGUACAGAACAGCUUCAGCUCUGGGGUGUUGGUGGGUUUCCUCACAUGAACUGCUCGCUUCAGGUUCUUCCACAACAUCUCUACUGGAUUGAGGUCAGGGCUUUGACUCGGCCGUUCCAAAACAUUAACUUUAUUCUUCUUUAAGCGUUCUCUGGUAGAACGACUCGUGUUCUUAGGCUCAUUGUCUUGCUGCAUGACCCACUUUCUCUUCAGAUUCAGUUCACAGACAGAUGUCCUGACAUUUUCCUUUAAAUUUCACUGAUAUAAUUCAGAACUCAUUGUUCCAUCAGUGAUGCCGAGUCGUCGUGGACCUGAUUAGGCAAAAGAGGUCCAAACCCUGACACUACCACCACCAUGUUUCACCGAUGGGAGAAGGUUCUUAUGCUGGAAUGCAGCGUUUUCCUUUAUCCAAACAUAACACUUCUCAUUUAAACCAAAAAAUUAUAUUUUGGUCUCCUCCAUCCACAAAACAUUUUUCCAUUACACUUCUGGCUCGUCCACAUGAUCUUUAUCAAACUGCAGGAGGAGAGCAAUGUUCUUUUUGGAGAGCGGUGACUUCCACCUUGUAGUCCUGCCAUGCACACCAUUGUUCUUCAGUGUUCUCCUGAUGGUGGACUCAUGAACAUUAACAUUAGCCAGUGUGAGAGAGGACUUUAGUUGCUUGGAAGUUACCCUGGGUUCCUUUGUGACCUCGUGGACUAUUACACGUCUUGUUCUUGGAGUGAUCUUUGUUGGUCUCCACUCCUGGGGAGGUGAACAAUGGUGUUGAAUUUCCUCCAUUUAUACCCAAUAUGACUGUGGGUUGGUGGAGUCCAUACUCUUAAUAGAUUGUUUUGUAAACUUUUCCAGCCUGAUGAGCAUCAACAUCUCUUUAUCUGAGGUCCUCAGAAAUCUCCUUUGUUCAUGCCAUGAUGCACUUCUACAAACACAUGUUGUGAAGAUCAGACUCUGAUUAAUCGCUGUUCUUUAAAUAAAACAGGAUGCUCACUCACACCUAAUUAUACCAAUCAUUUCAUUGAUUGAAAACACCUGACUCUAAUUUCCAAACUUUCAAGCACCACUAUCUGAGAGUAUAUGAACAGGUAACUACAGAGAUGUUUUAUUUUUAUUUUUAAAUAGUUGUUUAUCUUUUGGUAAACACAUCUGAGGUGAUCAUGUGAUUUGGUUUUCAGAUUGGUUGACGGUAACAGCUUUAGUAGCCGGGGGUUGUGCGCUUGUUUUAGUGUCACUUCUGGUUCUGUGGAGGUGUUUCUCCAAAAGGAAAGGUAACAUUUCAUUUAAAUUAUAUACAGUAAAGUUUUAUUAUCUUCACUACUGAGCUAGAAUGCUAACCCACUAACCUGCUUGGCCUGUCCUUAUCUCUUGGAUCAUUUGUUUUGUUAGAUAUACUGCUCACUGUUUAUUUGACAUUAGUGAUUGUGCAAUUUUCUAGAACAACAGCUCUGACAGUAGAGUAGGUUUAUAUUAAUGCACUUUGUGCACAGCUUCACACAAACAAAUUAAAAAAUGUAUGUAAUUGUUGAUAUGGUGACAAGGAGAUGUUCAUGUAACAUGAAUGGAAGGAGUCUCCAGUGUCAGUGCUUUGCAACAGUCAGAGGUAAAGCUGUAAUUUUAAGUUUUCAGACAUCCUCAGGACAUCUUUUGUCUUAUUAACUUUAUACUUUAUAAAUGCUGAAGUUUAUCAUUUAUUCAUGCAGUAAACACUGUCAGUUAAAUGAAUCUUAAUGUCAUAUCACAGCAAACCAGUGAUUACAUUUCCCAUCCUGCACUGUGGCCUAAAAACGUGGCCGCCAUGGACUACACUCCCCCUCCCCACGUUCAUCUUCUCUGGAAUUCUAAUCACACACACCUGUUGCCAAUCUCACACUCACUCACUUCACGCUAUAAAAGAGACUUUUUGAACACCAUGACUUUGUGAAGUAUUGAGUGUUAUCACCAUACCAAGCGGUUGUUCCUUGUUUCUCAUUUUGCAUCAUGUUCAUUGACCUUGUUUCUCGUUUAUCGUUCUUGAUUCUUGAUUCUAGCCUUGCCCAGUUUAUAGGUUUGUAGAUCGCCUGACCCAUUGGCUCUUAUUUCGUUCACGCUAUUGUCUCAUGAUUUGGAUUUAUCUACCUGCCUCUCUCUAAUAAACUCUUACCUGCAUUUGCAUCCGUCCUAACCUUCAUUACGAGGAAUAUGUGACAGAAUACUUCGCCUAUAACAUGGAAGCAGCAGGAAAGAGGGGGAGACAUCACGCUAGGGAAACCAGGCAAACCGUCCCAACUGUGGAUUCGAUCCAGUUUCCUCAGUGGACUGUCGUAGACCUCCCAGAGCUGUAUGAUGGGUUAUCAGGUUACCCUGAAUAUUUUCUUGCAGUUCAAAAUCCUGGGUCAUCCUGGAGGAACUUUUCCAGGAGGCCUGCCUCAGAGAUAAACCUGACUUGCCGUUCACCACCUAUUGUGAGCAGGCAAACUGGGUGACCUCCUUCCCAAAGCUCCUGCCUAAGACCCACUAUGUGGUCUCACCUGCCGAGCUCCAGCCAGAGUUCAACGUGGUGACCUCAUCUCCAGAGUCCCAGUCGGAGGUCAAUGUGGCGACCUCCUCCCCAGAGCUCCAGCAUAAAGUCAAGUUCCUGUCCGAGGUCAAAGAGACGACCUCCCAAUCCAUGUUCAUGUACGAGGUCGAAGAGGCGAGUACUCAAGCCAGGUUUCUGUCCGAGGUCAAAGAGUCGACCUCUCAAGCCAAGUGCCUGUGCGAGUUUGAAGGGACGACCUCUCAAGCCAUGUUCCUGUCUGAGGUCGAAGAGACGGCCAACCCAAGCUCUGCUCACGCCAAGUUCCUGUCCCAUGUCAUGUCGAAGAGACGGCCAACCCAAGCUCUGCUCACGCCAAGUUCCUGUCCCACGUCGAAGAGACGGCCAACCCAAGCUCUGCUCACGCCAAGUUCCUGUCCCACGUCGAAGAGACGGCCAACCCAAGCUCUGCUCACGCCAAGUUCUUGUCCCAGGUCAAGGAGACGGCCAACCCAAGCUCUGCUUAUGACAAAUUCCUGCCCCAGGUCGAAGAGACGGCCAACCCAAGCUCUGCUCAUGCCAAGUUCCUGUCCCGACGUCAUGACCAACCUGGUUCUGCUCAUGCCUAAAACCAAUGUCACGGCCAACCAAGUUCUGCUCAUGCCCGAGUCUGCUGACAUGGCCAAGUUCUGCUCAUGCCUGAAGCGGACAUCACAACCAACCAAGUUAUGCUCAUGCUCGAGACUGAUGACCCCAGUUAUGCUCAUGCUCGAGACUGAUGACCCCAUGCUCGAGACUGAUGACCUCAUGUCUGCUCCUCAGUUCCUGGAGGAACCUGCUACUUGUCAGACAAUGCCUGCAUUGUAACCUGAGGUGAUGUGAAGACAUUUUGCCCAGAGGGCCAGGACCACUGGGGGAGGGAGUGUUAUUUUCCGCUUCGGGAGAAGCGCCCUGAGGUUGGGGAGGUGGGGGGGGGGUUCUGUCAUAUAACAGCAAACCAGUGAUUACAUUUCCCAUCCUGCACUGCGGCCUACAAACAUGGCCGCCAUGGACUACACUUCCCACACACACACACACACACACACACACAUGUUCACCUUCACAUGCCCGUCAUGGACUACACUCCCCCCCCCACAUUCACCACCUCCGGAAUUCUAAUCACACACACCUGUUGCCCAUCUCACACUCACUCACUUCACGCUAUAAAAGAAACUUUUUUAACACCAUGACUUUGUGAAGUAUUGAGUGUUAUCACCAUACCAAGCGGUUGUUCCUUGUUUCUCAUUUUGCAUCAUGUUCAUUGACCUUGUUUCUCGUUUAUUGUUCUUGAUUCUAGCCUUGCCCAGUUUAUGCCUGUUUGUAGAUCGCCUGACCCAUUACCUGUUAUUUCGACCACGCUAUUGUCUUAUGAUUUGGAUUUAUCUACCUGCCUCUCUCUAAUAAACUCUUACCUGCAUUUGCAUCCAUCCUAACCUUCAUUACGAGGAAUAUGUGACACUUAAUGUAAAACAUGUUAAUUUUUUUCAUAUGUAGUGUUGUUCCUCUGCAUUAAAGCCUGACAGAAUCCGCAACCCGUUUAACUCUUAUUAUUACCUCUUCAUUCAGGUAGCACCGCCAAAGUACAGCACGAUUCAGCUGAAAAAGAAUCUUUGGAUGAGAUACAUGUUUAUGAGUCAAUUUACGAGACUCCCUCAGCUCCUCAACCAGGUGAGUUUACUAUUAAUGUAAAGUUUAUUUAUUUAUGUGGCUUAGAAAUAUAAAUGACUCAGAAUGAGAACGUGAGCUUCAUAAACUAAUGUUGUUGUUUUUUUCAGAAUUGACAGGCUGCACACUUUAGGCAAACAGCUGAAACUAAAAACAGUCUAUAAGAGUCCAAAAUGUGCAGCAUGUAUGUGAAAUAAUACUUUAGAUUUCUUUUGUUACCAGAACAGAGCCUAAUGCUCAUUUAUGCAGCAUUUGAAGUAAAGGAGCAGAAUUACAGGAUUGCCUUCUCUAAGAAUGAUAAAAUAACUUCAGUAUAUCAGUUAGUAAUCAGAUGUUUCUCUGUAUUUCUCUGCCCUUAGCAGCUCCACAGCAGAUCCCAAAAGAUGGAUUUUACUAUCUGGCUACACAUCCAGGAAUCCAGAACAGGCAUUAAAACACACACACACACACACACACACACACACACACACACACACACACACACACACACACACACAAAUACACAACAUGUCAACAUGUGGAUCUUCCUUCAAAGAGUGUGAAGGUAAAGGCAGUUUCUGAAUAGAAGUGUGGGCUGUAGGAGUUGGGGGUGGGGUGGGACUACUGAUUGACUGAGUUGCUGUUGUCCAGAGAUGAUCGGCGUUGAUUUGUGAUUGUUGUUGUUUUAUAAUAAACAUCUGUACUUUUUACUUUCACUUUGUUCUAUAUCUAUGAACACAUGAAUAUGAUGAUUGUGAUGUCUGGGUUAGGGUUACUACUACUACUACCGGAAUUGUUGAGUUGACUGUUGAAUAAUUAUGGCUAAAUCAAUUAAACAACAGUUUGGAAUAUCUGAACUGUUGUGCACAUUAUUCUUUUCCUACUGUAUAUUUCAUAUGAGUAUUAAAAUAUAUGUUUUUUUGUUACAAUAGUCAAUUUCAUAAUGUCAACACUCACUAUACACUAUUUCAUUUAUGAGGCAAAAGGCAACCUGCAGUCAUACACCAAGUCCACAUAUUUCUAUCACAAAAUAUCGAGGCUUGAAUCCCUUGUAAAUCCCACCUUCCCAGCAUCUGAACUCUAACCUAGCUGAGACACGCUGCUCAAACUUUCUUAUCUAUCUGAUGCUACGUUCAUAGUCGCUGUACUAUGAAGUCGCCAGUAGGUGUUCCUGCUACCAGUUGUCAUAGUAACAUUUGUCAGUGGGUGGUGCGACUAACAUUCCACUUUUGACAAUUAAUCAGUUUUCUUGCUGCUAAAAUGGAACCUUCUGGAGGAAGAGGAUCUUAUAUAAAACUCACCAGUGUAUAUAUGCAUCACAUCCUAUGAGAUCGAGGAGAAGCAGUGUGUGCUCUUUGCCACUGAGGCCAUCUGUCUGUGGGAAAAGUGCAAUUAGCUUAGCUUAGCUUAGCUUAUGGCCUCCUCGGCCAUGGUCUCCGUGCUUCCUGGGUGAAGUGGCUGGCUUGGUGCUGCUUGUUCCCAGAGCCGGGCGUCUCAGCCUCAGGUCCUCGCUCCUUCUGGUAGCUUCUACUUAUCACGUGCACUCUCCUGUCUUCACUCCCAUUGGUAGUCUCUGCACCAAGUCACUCCACAUUUGCAUAAAGUCGCCUGCAUUUACCAGCUUUGUGACCAAAAUUUUAAAAAAUAAUUUAAUAAAACUAGCCACAGUAGGUUGAAGUUGGUUUGCAAAAAAAAAAAAGAAAAAAAAAGCUAACACUAAGCAACAUAAACAUAAUUUUAACAUUAACUUAGUUGACCUUACCUUAGGUGUGUUCAACUAGUACGAUGAGUUUUCACUCUUGCCUUGCUGCAACACGGUCCUUGCAGGAGCAGCACAUCUGAUGUAUCGUAUAUGAGGCCCAGCAAGGCCCAUGGAUGUGAGUCGCUGCCUGAUCUGAGUAGCGCACGCAUCUUGGACAACUAGGUACGGCAACACCACCUGGACCAACACGCAGAACUGCAGUAAACAUUUAUAGUUAUGAUUAUGAUCACAUUUGCUAAUGAUUAAUUCAGACGGCGUUGUGUGGUUUCAAUUCAAUUCAAAGCAUCAAACAAUUCGUUCAAAUAUCUGAACAAUACACAAUAACAGCAACAUUACGCAGACAAUGACAGACAAUCAUGCAACCGACAUUGACAAUUGUUGAAUUGAAUUUACAAUUCAUAUGUCGAUCUCCUGCACCUGUCUUCCACGUCCACAGAUGUCCAAAAAAACUCUUAGCAAGACGUGCAAAUCUACAUCUGAGAGGUGUCAUAAUCAGAUGUCCAGAGACUGAACCUGAUUUACACAUCUUGCAGACAUACAGAUAUGGUCCUGGACCAAGCGACGUAAUAUAGGCAUGAUCUACACAUCUGGCAGAUGUCUCAUGUUUGCUGGGAUACAGUAAAAAAAAAAAAAAUUAUAUAUGAAGUGCAUAGAAGUAAGCUGCAGCUCAGGAAGUGAUGUAAUUGUGUAUGUAGG
This is a long non-coding RNA of Ictalurus punctatus (channel catfish), 12081 nucleotides long. Lineage: Eukaryota; Metazoa; Chordata; Actinopteri; Siluriformes; Ictaluridae. The record is from Ensembl.